GUGCGUAACACAUGCAAGUCGGACGGGUUCUGCUUUUCGGAGCAGGGCGAGUGGCGGACGGGUGCGUAACACGUGGAUGACCUACCCUGUGGAGGGGAAUACCGCUCAGAAAUGGGCGCUAAUGCCGCAUGAGCUGGGUGCUGGAGCAGCACUCAGCAAAGGAUGCAACGCGAGUUGCAUGCGCCAGAGGAGGGGUCCGCGGCCGAUUAGCUAGUUGGGGGGGUAAGAGCCUCCCAAGGCGACGACCGGUAGCUGGUCUGAGAGGAUGAUCAGCCACACUGGGAUUGAGAACGGCCCAG
Molecule: ribosomal RNA, 299 nt
Filed under: uncultured bacterium
Lineage: Bacteria
Description: partial 16S ribosomal RNA
Rfam family: Bacterial small subunit ribosomal RNA
Source: RNAcentral